GUCCACGCCCUAAACGAUGCUAACUCGAUGUUUGGGCCUUGUGCUUGAGCAUCCAAGGGAAACCGUUAAGUUAGCCACCUGGGGAGUACGACCGCAAGGUUGAAACUCAAAGGAAUUGACGGGGUCCGCACAAGCGGUGGAGCAUGUGGUUUAAUUCGAUGAUACGCGAGGAACCUUACCUAGGCUAGAAUGUGAGCGCUAUCUGGUGAAAAGCCGGAGUUCCUACGGGACGCGAAACAAGGUGCUGCAUGGUUGUCGU
This 259-nucleotide ribosomal RNA is filed under the name uncultured bacterium. RNAcentral's name for it is "partial 16S ribosomal RNA". It matches the Rfam family "Bacterial small subunit ribosomal RNA", at positions 793 to 1055 of the family's 1533-position model. The record is from RNAcentral.